This is a long non-coding RNA of Homo sapiens (human), 12554 nucleotides long. RefSeq annotates it as MAP1B antisense RNA 1. Lineage: Eukaryota; Metazoa; Chordata; Mammalia; Primates; Hominidae. The record is from RefSeq and is a predicted model, not a curated record. The transcript is spliced from 3 exons.
UUUCAUACAUAUUUUAUUUUUGACAUAUUUGUAAUUUAGCAAUAGAAAAAGUACUAAAUGAUAAAUCCACUUAGUAAUUUCUAAAUUAUACUAGUAAACGGCUGAUAAAAAUAUUUCUCAUUUUUACACUCCCAAUGAAACUAAAAAUGUAGGGUUCUUUUUUCAAGAGAGCAAUUUCCACCCAAAUUGUUUCUUAGCAAUGCACAACCACUACUACCACUUAUAAAAUAAAGGUUAUGUUGGAUUUGCCAGCUAUUUUAGUUGGAAAGGAAAAUUUUGGAAUCAGGCCACUUUCCAUACCAAUUUUAGAAAUAAAAUAAUUUGUAAUUACUUUGUAUCUCCUGCUGGAUAAUAUUGGUAAAGGCAAAGAGUAGUUGUUAAUGAAGGUUCAUAUUGCAUUUAGUAGGUUUAUGUAGUUCCCCUUUGUGCCUAACAAGGAGCCAACAGUGAGCCCUCUAAAGUUUACAGGACAGAAAAAUAUCUCUUUGGCCCUUCCCAUAUUCUCCCCUCUCUGAAUCUGGCUGGAGGGCAUCCUGGGGUGUUGGUGAAGAGGUUCUAAAGAGGCUUUCAGAAGCAAGUCAUCCUGGUCUCUGUUGGGGAGCAGGGAAGCCCUCUUUCUAAUUUUCACCCCAAUAUACACCAAGUCAAGCUCUUCCUGGAGGCUUUGUUUCCCCAGCAUUCUAAGACUGUACCCCUUCUGGGCUUACCCAGGUGGGGGCAGAAUAACUCCAGGCAGUUGGAGGCAGUGAACCCCAUUCUUUCAAUGUCUGGAGCCAAAAGGCAUCCGUCAUCUCUGAGAACAAUCUGGGCCUGCUCUGUGGCUAUUGCCCAGCCCUGAAAGUGAGCUCCUUGGGACCAGGGAGCAACAAAAGAUCUUUCCUUCUCAGUUCUCUGACCCCAGGUGGUAGCAGUGCACACAAGGGAGGCUGACAUGCACAUGAUAUACACAGAUGAGAAAAGGAGAAAAGAAUAGGUUAUGGGGCAGGGAGGCAGGGAGGGGUCAUUAAAGAACAAGUCAGGGUGAAAAAUGAGGAGAAGUCAGGUACUCUUGGUGUGUACAGGCUAGAUUGUUCCAAGUUUUCCAAUCAUGUAAGCAUUUUGCAGGGUUGUUUAAUGAAACCAACAAUUUAAAAAAGCACCUCCCAUUUAAAAGCUAAAAUUCAUAUUUCUAAAGGUGACAGUGGAUUGAAGAAAGCAAAAUGAAAUGACCAUGCAUUGUAUGUUGAUGGCACAUGGGUUCUAUCUGACAGUUAUUUGGGCCUUUGGCAAGUUGAUUUUCCUUUAUGGGCUUUAGUUGCUCCCUCUGAAAAACAGGCUUUUGGAUAUUUUUUCCAAGUACCUAAAUCAUUAACCUAGAAUCAUAAGAUUAUAUUUGUAAAACUAUGCUAAAAAGUGGUCUGAAAUCAGAUUGAAAUCAUAAACUAAAUAAAUGAACUAAAGGAAAUGCUACAUUUAGGAAUGCUUUAUUUCUCAGAGGAAAAAAUUCUUAUUUUUUCCCUUGAACUCAUCUUUAAUUUGCUUUUUUUCUUUUUUUAAAGCCAGCAACUUGAUGUUCAUAACAUAUGUAUGUAAUGACGAUAAUAUCUUACAUACAGAGCUCAUAGUUUCAAAGCAUUGAUAAUAAAUAAUUUAGGUCUGAGAUAACAUCUUACAACACAAGCAAAUGAGAAGUGACAUAAUUAUUUGCUUGUCUAAAAAGUUAUAACUUAUUUUUUUAAAGUAAGCCCUUAGAGAAGGUGAACAAUUUAAUGACCUUAAAUUUGGGGACUGCCUUGUGUUUCAGCAUGGAUCACAGAGCUGUCGUAGAUAAUACCAAUUAAGCAGUGCAAGCAGAAAUCCAUCUGUCUUCGACUUUGAAAAGUAUAGGCAAAUAUAGUAAAUUUAAGACUCUCUAACAUUUAAUUCUCACCACAUAUGGUAUUGGUUUCUUAUUUCCCCUGUUAAAAGAAAAGGAAAACUAAACCCCAAAUCUUUCCUGGGUUUUAAAUUCUCUUACCAUCUUAGACUGAAGGACAUUCAGUUAAGUGACAUCAGAAUGUAACAAUGUAAUCAGCUAAACUUUUAUCUAAAAAUGCAGAGCAGUAGAUGUUACAUUCAUCUAUCUUUUCACCAACAAAUCUUGCUGAUUCCCAGUGUUAACUAAAGGAAAAGUUAUAAUCUAACGGUAAUUGAAAACAUCCAACAGACACUUAAUAUUCUUUAUAUGUUUUAGUUCCUUAAAAAAAAAAUGAAACAAUGAAAACGUUCACAAGGCUCUAGAAUUCAGUUUGCAAGACACGGAUGUAUGUCCUCUAUGUAUUAAAAUAAAACCAAGAAGCAGGGUUUUGCUGAAAAUGAGAACCACUAGCUAAAUCCAUGCUGGGGGCUAAUUAGGGAGGAGAAAAAGGAGGUGCCAAAGAGUAGUAGUUGGUGGUAGCGAAAACGAUUUGGAAUAAAGUCCUGCAUAACUAAAUAAAUGAAGCUAGCCUAGUCCGAGGAAACACUAUUGUUCCAAACUCUGGAGGAGACAUGUCCAAAGCUUUCAUUAUGCUUUCCGAAUAUAGUUGAGAAAGCAAGAGGGACCAUCUCUCUUCCCUGGUUUCAAGAGGCAUUUACGAAGCAUCCACAUUGGGACGUUCCAGGCCUGUUGAUUUACUGCAUUACCACCAUGUCUCUACAGAUUUAUAGAUUAUUUUCUAGGCUUCCCAGAGAGCCCUCAGUAAUCGGAUGGCAAGAAUCCAAGUCGCCAGGGUCUCCAAACCCAGAAUCUCAGUUAAGGCAGGAGGGGAAAUAGGAAGAAAGAGUAACAGAUGCGGAACUGCCUUCCCAGCCUGCAACACACAAUCAUCAGAGCUGGCCCCCCUGGAGCAGCUCCAUCUUGCUUCACACAACAAGGCCCAAAGGCACCAAGCAACAACAGCAGUGGCCUCUGGAGGAGGCCCAGCUGAGACCUGGCGGCUGAAGCAGCAGCUUGUCGUGCACAGGAAAACAGGACCAGCCUGCUCUGUUGCUAAGUCAUCUCAGACUGUCUGAAAAGCUAUGGGAGCAGGAUUUUCACUUAGCGCUGGAAGGGCCUGCAUCUUGAGCUGCAGCCAAGACCCCAGAACCCAGGAGAGCCAUCUUCAGAGGAAAAGCAGCAUCUGCUACGGUGUGUAAAGAAACGGCUCUGCUCACUCACUUGGUUGAUUCUUAAUGGGAUCAAUACAGUCAUUUCGGAGUUCCAUGCAAAAACCUGACCAAAUUAGGGAAUUAAAAAAUCAGGAAGCCAUGAUGUCUAUUGCAAAGGGAACACAAGGGGGCUUCUGGGGUUCCAGUAAUGUCUGUUUCUUGAUCUGGGUAACCCAGGCGUGUCCGUUUUGUGAAAAUUCGUUGAGCUGCUCAUCUUUGAUUUGUGCCCUUUCCUCUCUAUAUAAUACUUCAACCGAAUUUUUUAAAAAAUUAAUGUCAAGAAGACAAAUCUGAAUUUUGUCACUAAGUGCUAGUAGUGUAAAAACGAGUAAAGGCAGGGAGCCCUUCUUCAUAGCAGUACGUGGAUGCGUCUGUUUUCUCCAUAAAUAGAUGCAGCUUGUAUAAACCCUCUGAGGAAUAGGGCGCUGAAAGGAUGAUCAGAUGAGUAACAAAGCAGGAAGAUAAUUACGAUCCGAAGGUGAUUGCUGAACCAUCUCCCAGCAUGGGGCGCUGCCCACAAGUGGAUGGCCAUACAAAGGCAAGCCCUGAAAACUGUUGUACUGAAACCUUCCUCCCAUCAUAGGAUGUUAGCCAACCCUGCACUAACAUCAUGACAGGGUCAGAAAACGAGUGACGCUGCAGUACUGGUACUUCUGUCACUUAUGAGUGCUGUGACCUUGAGCCGGUUCUCUUACCCUUCCUGCCUCUCUGGGCCCCCAGCUCUAAAACGGGGUUGAUGAUCCCUCUCCUAGCACCACCACAUCGAAUGGUUAUGAAGAUUUUGUAGAUAGAAAAGCACCUCCUAAUAUAUUCCUAUUUCCCAGAAAUGCUACUUACAAAUAAUUUUUUAAAGAAAAAAAUCCAAAGUCAUUGAUUCCCACAAUAGCCACACCCAAAGUCAGUAUGUGUAAAAUUUUUCCAGGAGAAAAUUGUGCAAAUAAACUAAAUUAGAACAGAUUAGACCAAAGGCCUAUAUAGUCUGAAAAUGAAGGGUUAUUGAGAUGCUCAAAUAAGACAUUUCACUACUGAAAUAUCUCUUGUUCUUGAAUUUUUUGGAAUAAAAUACUAUGACUUUCUGCUCACAUUUUUUUUCUUUUUUUUUUUUAAGCUAAAAGGGAAAAUCAAGUGCUUUAAAGUUAAACAAAAGAACCAGGUCUGCAACUCCAGUCCCCACCCUGCAGCCUUUUGUUCUGGGGACAAGUGGCCGUUUCCAACUGCAGAGGCAGAUGACAAGCAUUUAUUUUUUCAUCUAAAACAAGGUUUUUCUUUCGUCUUUUAUUGGGGAGGGGGAGUGGGGAACGAGGGCUGCGUGAACGCCCUUUGUCCGCCUCGGGCUGCCGUAGAGACCGCAGUGCGGACUGCACCACGCCCACCAACCGGUGUCUCCCGGAGAAACGCUUCAGCACCACCCCAGGAGAAUAGAGCGCGGGCUGGGGCUGCGGAGGGACCCGGCGACCUCUGUCAGGAGCGAGGGGAGGGCCGGGACGCCAGGGAUAAAGGGAAAGGCAGAGACCAGAGCUGCCCACCCAGGGACUCCCAGGGCAACAAAGCCAGGCAAACUGAGAGCGGGAGAGGCGGUGGCCAACUCAGCACAGGCUGCGGACUCAGCGUGGUGACAGAUCCCUCAAGCUAGAAGACUUCUGUUAGGAGAAGCGUUAUCCUGUCAGUUGAUUACCCUGAGGUACGGUAUGUACAGGAAAAGAAGGAUAAACAAAUGAUUUUUUCUCUUUAUUUACUGAUUUUCAAAAUAAUUAAUUUAUUCCAAAUCAUUCUCUAAAGGUGACUAAUUUUUUGUAUCAUUACAAAUAUAACUUACAUUAUUCAUAUUGAUGCUUUCAUUUUUUCAUCUUUGGCCAGUAGUAUGGUAAGGUAUCCCUAGCUUACCUUGCACAUAUCUGGCCUCAGAACCUGGAAUGAGCCGUUUCUCUAUGGAAUCCAAGUUCCUUACGUGGGUAAUGGUAUUUGGAGACCCCUGUAUACCAGGUGCUACUACUAUUUUGAUCAUUGUUUCUAGAUAUUUUCAGUGGACAGAAAUAUGAAAUAAAUUGUUUUUCAAGUAUGAGUUCAUACUUAUACCUCUAACUCAGAAUCGGGACUACAGGGAUUUUGCCUAACGUUUUAUCUUGCAUCUGUAUUUCCUUUGUCCUAUGCCUAGAAUUCCAGUUUUCAAAGACUCCAAGGUGACAGAAUUAGAACAGCAGAUAGUUUCUCAUUUUUCUUGUUCCACAAUAUAUACAAAUUACCCUCAUGGUAGUUUUAGAUACGAAUGCAACACUUUUGCCAACAAUGUGAUUACUAAAAACAUUUUAAGGUAUAUAGUUUUUUUGUUUGUUUGUUUGUUUGGUUGGUUGGUUGUUUUUUUUGUUUUUGUUUUUUUUUUUUUUUUUUUUUUGAGACCGAUUCUCACUCUUGUUGCCCAGGCUGGAGUGCAGUGGCGCCAUCUCGGCUCACUGCAACCUCUGCCUCCCAGGUUCAAGCGAUUCUCCUGCCUCAGCCUUCUCAGUAGCUGGGAUUACAGGCACCCACCACCAUGCCUGGCUAAUUUUUGUACCUUUAGUAGAGAUGGGGUUUCGCCAUGUUGGCCAGGCUGGUCUCAAACUCCUGACCUCAGAUGAUCUGCCCGCCUCAGCCUACCAAAGUGCUGGGAUUAUAGGUGUGAGCCACCGUGCCCAGCCUAAGCUAUAUAGUUUUAAAGUGUAAUUAAUUCUGUUAUAUAUGAUCGUGCCACUAACUCAGUGCAUAGUUAUGUUCAUUUGUUUCAUUUUGUUUUCAGUUUUUAUGAAUUGAUUUUUACAAUUUAAUUUUGCUUUAUAGUAAUGUAAAAUAUUUACAUGGUUCCAAGGUGAAAUCUACAAAACAAUUUGUAUUUGGAGAACUUUAGCCUCUAUCCCUGUCCCCUCCAGCUUUCUCCCUGUCUCUUCCUGUGAGUAACAAUUUUUUACCUUGAUUUAGCCUUUCACUUUAAAAAUGCAAGUAGCAGCAUAUACAUACAAUUUUCUCCACUUUGCUUAUUUCAUCAAACACUAUAUCCCGGCUAUAACGCUACAAUAAUAUAUGUUAAUAUUCCUCAUUUUUAUUUAUAGCUGCAUAGUAACCCAUUAUGUUUAUUUACUAUAAUUUACUCAACCAGUCCAUUGUUGGUGAACAUUUGAGCUAUUUCCAGUUUAAUUUAUAUUGUAAACAGUAGGUCUAGCUAUUUUUUUUUCCCAUGCAACCUCAAUAGUCACCUUACUGGCAUCUGUAUAUCCACAAUGACUCACCCAAUCCAUGCUUCACACAAUAUGGAGAAUGAUCUUUUCUGAUCUGGUUUUGUUGCCCCAUCUCCACUUAAAACACAAAUGGCUCCCCAUUUUAGAAUAAAGACCAGACUUCUCAGUGUCACCUACAAGCUGGUCCCCAUUUAUCUCAGCAGCUUCAUCUGGCCCCUCCACUUGCCCUUACUUUCCAGCAUCAGCCACAAUGACUUUGUGCCAAACCAUCCUUCCCUCCAACACAGGCUUUCCCUUGCUUUUCCUCCUGAUGAGAGCACUACUUUUGUCCAUUUUCUGUUGCUGUAACAGAUUACCACAGACUGGGUAAUUUAUAAAGAAAAGACUAGUUGAACUCUAUGCUCCACAGGAGCAAAGAACAUGUCUAUCCCCACCCCCACACACCCUUUUCACACCCACCCAGCCACCCAUAUACCUUAGCAUUCCUCUUGCUCAGCAUAGGGCAUAUGCUCAGUCAAAGCAUAUUCAAUGACUAAAUGAAUGGCUUCUAUGAGCCAUGGUAGUGUGCUAGGUGCUUAAAGUACUUCAGUGAAUUCCCACUGGUAUUAUUUAUAUUUUUGAUGGCUUAAAGUCUGUAUUGAUGUCUCUUUCUCAUUUCUGAUCUCGAUAAUUUGUAUUUUCUUUGUUUUUUUCUUGAUCAGUCCAGCUAGGGGUUUAUCAAUUUUGUUAAUCUUUACAAAAACCUACAUUUGACAUUAUUGAUAGUUUUCUAUUUUAUGUAUGUGUAUAUAUAUUUUCAUUGAAGCUGUUUUUAUCCAUGCUGUUUUGCUCCUAAUUUCUUUGGGUUUUAUCUUACUUCCUAUUGUAGCUGCUUGAGAAGCUUAAGUAAUUAAUUGUCAGUUUUCCUUCUUUUCUGAUAAAUACAUUUAAGGCUAAAUAUUUCUAACUCCUGCUUUAGCUGCCCUGUACACAUUUUGAUGUGUUGUGUCUUUAUUGUCAUUAUCAUUCAUUUCAUAACAUUUUCUAAUGUCAUUGUGAUUUCUUUUUUGCCAUUAGUUAUUAUUAUUGCUGUUUGACAGAUGAAAAACUGACAUGGAGAAAAGUUAGACAAUUCCUCCAAAUCACAAAGAUAGUAAGUUGAAAACUUGUGAAAAGAACUCUGCUAUGUCAUAUUUCAAAGUCUAUGACCUCCCCUAUAUGGUACCUUCACUGAUGCUAUUGAAUUUAAAGCAAAUAAAGGAAAUGAAGCACAGCCCAAGUGUUGAUUGGUGGGAAGAAUAAAACAGUCAGAGUAAAUCUCACAUUGAAUGAACCUCCAGUGUUGUGUUGUUAGUUAGAAUUAAAGUCAUUCUCUAGAGUGUAACUUAAGACAGUAUGUCAUUUAAGGGUCAAGAAAUAGUCUGUUUACUCAGCAUUUAUCAGUCCUUUCUUUCCAAACUUUAAGCUAGCUAUAGAAAAAUUCCAGAGAGCCUGGGGAAAGAAACAAAAGGAAAAUUAGGGAAAAGACUUACAAGGUAUGAAGUAUUAGAGAACAUUUUAAAAGGAUAAUCUAUACGCUAUGUCAUUGAUGGCUGCAGCCAUUCUCUAUGCCCAUAAACUAAAUGGGCCUAACUCUUAACAGUGGCUAUUAGGUUAGUUAGAAGAGGCAUGUUUCUGAAAAUUCCAUAGUGAACUUCAUAGCCAGAGGAAAAUAUCUUAUACUUCUUUCUAUUCAAUCAUCCUUGACUCCGAAAGUGCCUCUUAUUUUCUUUUGGUGGAACAGUGGAAAAAAAAUAUCACACUGGAAGGCCAAUUGACUGAAAUCAAGUCCCUUUUCCUAACUGUGUGAACUGGGUCCUUCACAUCACUAUCCUUCAACAACAAGAAAAACAAAAAACAUCCUAUAAAUGUAUAAAGAAGAAAAUGAAAGUUCUUUCUUUGCUACCCCUAGUUCUCUUCCCCUUCCUAGAGGCUAAACUAUUUUGUGUGCAUGUGUGUGUGUGUGUAGAAUGUACACAUAUAUGUAGGGGAUUGGUUCUAGGACUCUGUCCCCUGUGAAUACCAAAAUUCAGGGACGCCUAAGUUCCUUAUAUAAAAUGAUGCUUAUAACCUACGCACAUCCUCCUGUAUACUUUAAAUAAUCUUGAUUACUUAUAAUAUCUAAAACAGUGUAAAUGCUAUGUAAAUAGUUGUUAUACUGUAUUGUUUAGGAAAUAAUGACAAGAAAAAAGUCUGCACAUGGUCAGAACAGAUUCAACCAUUCUUUUUUUAUAUAUUUUUUUCUGAAUAAUUACAAUCCAUGGUUUGUUGAAUCCACAGAUGCAGAACUGGUGGAUAUGGAGGGCUGACUGUAUACAUGUAUCUUCCCCAUAUAAAUAGAACAAUAUUUUAUAUACUGUUCUUCAAAUGGCAUUUUCCCUUUGAAGCUCUUUUCAAAUAUGUAAAAAUCUAUUUUUAAAAACUGCUGCACAGUAGCUCAUAGAAUGAAUCUACCAUAUUUCCUUUACUCUUUCCCCUCUUGGUGGUCCUUUAGGUGGUGUUUGGUUUUUUUCUAUUAUAAAUAGUGUGCAAUGACCAUGCUUGUAAGUGCUUCUAUACUCAUAUAUGUUUCUCUGAGCACAGAUGCCUAGAUCUAGAAGCCAAACAGAUGGGUUGAAGGUGAUACCUAAUUUUAACAUUUGAUGACUCCUGCCAAAUUACCCUCUGAAAAGAAUUUAACAAUUUAUAUUCCUUCCACAUCAUUGCCUCUUUCCCCACAUCAUAAUGUAAGUCUUCUUAUUUUUUACUCACCAAAGGGAGAGAAAUAUUUACUGUUUAAAACUGAGCACCUUUUAAACUGCUUUUCUUUCUUUAUUGGCUUAACUCUUCAAGAUGUGUCUUUUUUCUGAUUGGACUAUUGUUUUUAUCUUUACUGGCUUUUAGAAGCUCUUUAUAUAAUCUGGAUAAUAAGCUUUCGUCAUCAAUAUAUGUUGCAGAUAUUUCCUCUCAGUGUGUCAUCAGAUUUUGUAUUUAUGUCUAUUUAUUAUGUCUGUGACCAUACAAAUUAUUAAAUUUCUUAUAAGGUUAGGCUAAGCUUCUUUCUUUAUGAGUUAAUGGGGGUUGUCUGUCUUAGAAAGGAUCUCUCAUUCCAAACCUUAAAACUAUUCUCCUAAUAAUUUUAGAUUUGUUCAACUGAGAGAGUGCUUAACUCAGGAGAUCAAUAAAGGUUCAUAGAGGAAGAAGUAUUUGAAAUUGUCCUGGAAGAACAAUAUUUUUCAACAGGCAGAGAUGGAGAAAGGACAAUCUACAUGAACAGAACAGCAUGAGCAAAAAGAACUGGUAGAAAUAUAUUGAGCUUAUUCUUGAAAAUAGCUAGCAGUUUACUCCUCCUUUCUUUUGUAUACUAACAGCAGCACACUGAACAAACUGUUCUGUCAUCUUGUUUUUAUCACUUACCAUAUCUUUGAAAUAUUUCCAUAACCAUCAUAAGGAGUAUCCCUAUUGCUUUUUGAGCAAUGCAUAGAAUUCCAUUUUGUGUGAAUAUCAUAAUUUAUCACUCUUCUAUUUUUAUCACUCCUCUGUUGAUGAUGACUUCCAGUCUUUUGAUAAUAUAAACAGUGCUGUAGUAAAUAAAGUUCUGUAUAUGUCUUUUCCCACAGGUUAGAGACUAUCCAUAGGAUAAAUUUCUAGCAAAUUGCUGAGUCCAGGAUAUGCAUGUUUGCAAUUUUGGAAGAUCUUAAAAACUUGCCUCCUAUAGGUGUUGUACCAGUAUAUACUUCUGCCAGUAAUAGAUGGGUGGGCUGCUGAUGCCUCAAAAUGUAAGUAUUUUCAAACUUUUAAAUUUUAGCCCAUUUAACAUAAUUUAAAAAUUAUGUCUCUGUGUGAUUUUAGUUCCAUUUCCCUUAUUAUAUAUAAGACUGAACAUCUUGGCAUAUGUUUAAGGGCCAUCUGCAUUUCCUUUUCUGUGCACUGUCAGCUUAUAUGCUUUGCCCAUUUUUUCUAGUAGAUGGUUAGUGUUUUUCUUAUUGAUUUGUAUAUAUUCUGUAUUACUCCUUUAUCACAUUGCCACAAAGAAAUGCCUGAGAUGGUGUCAUUUAUAGAGAAAAGAGGUUUAAUUGGCUCACAGUUCCACAGGCUAUACAGGAAGCAUGGCUGAGGAGGCCUCAGGAAACUUAACAAUCAUGGCAGAAGGUGAAGGGGAAGCAGGCACAUCUACACAUGGCCAGAGCAGGAGGAAGAGAGAGAAGGAAGAGGUGCUACACCCUUUUAAGCAACCAGAUCUUGUGAGAUCUCACUAUCGUGAGAAUAGCAAGGAGGAAAUCUGCCCCCAUGAUUCAGUCACCUCCUGCCAGACCCCUCCUCCAACAUUAGGGAUUACAAUUCGACACGAGAUUGCCGGUGGGACACAAAUCCAAACCAUAUCAUAUUCUUUAUACAUUUGGGAAAUUAACUUUUUUCUGUAAUAUGAUUUACAAAUAUUUUUCUCAGAUUGGCAUUUGUUUUUUGACUUUUCAUAUUGUGCAUUUUGCCAUGGGAAGUUUUUUUUGUCAUUAAAUUUACCUAUUCUUUCAUUCAUAUGGCUUCUGGGUCCUAUAUUAUACUUAGACCUUUACCAUUCUGAAAUUAUGUAAGAAAAAUUCUCUCAGGGUUUUUUCCUAGUAAUUUUAAGACUUUACUUUUAAUAUUUUGGAUUUAUCCAGAUGUAGACUAUAAGAUAAGGAUCCACAUUUUUUCCCCAGCUCUACAUUUUGCUGCUAGAAGAUUUUACAAAAUUUUGCAAUUACUUAGUAACUUACAUUUCUUCCCAAUUGAUUUUGAAAUCUGUAAGAGCAGAAACUUUGAUUUCAUAUUUUUAUUCUCUCACAUGCCUGCCCUUUAAUGCACUUCAACCCCAGCCCCAAGUUUUGCCUAGUACUUGGCAGUUAGGUAGUUGUUACUUCUGCAUCUCUUGACUGCUGGGGAGGAAAGAUUCCACCUGAGUUAAGGCAAGUCCUACCCAGGAUGUGGCUGCAAAUGAGACUGCAAAGUUCUCGACCGAUGUCUUUUCAUUAAACUCUGGCUUUUACCAAGUACAAGUACCAAGUGAGUCAUACCGACACAUGUAGAGGAUGGCAUCCUGAGGGGAAAAGAAUUAUAGUGGAAAUAACCAAGGCUGCUUGGAGAAAAGCUUCUCAGCUGGCACUGCAGAACAGCAGCCACUGCCACAGCAAACAGCAAAACAAUAACAAGCUUACUUGCAGAAGGUGGGAAGCUGCAGACGUAAAUGCAGGCUCCCUUCCCAGGCUACCAGCAGUCCCUGGGGAUGAAGUAGUCUAAAUGGGCAGCAGUUGUGGAGUCCUCCCCGCUCACAGGAAUGGAAGAUGUCACUCACUAGCAGAAGUGCUCUGGGGUGGCAAUGAGGAGUACUGUCUUUGGACUCUGACAGGAACAUCUGGAUGGCACCAGGCUCAGGGAGACGGGUCUUGUGUGUCCUGCUAAGCACUAACAGCAAUAAUUGAGCAGCAGCAAUCUGCCUCACAUCAUUCUAGGCCCUAGGAGGGCACAAAGUUGGUUCUUGGCUCAGGUUAUCAGGAAAGUAACGUAUGUGCGUACAAAUAAAGUGUCCAACAGCAGAAAGGGAUGCCCUGAACAGUCCAGGUUGCACAAAGGAGUAUGGACAAACAAGUAGUUUCAUCCAGCUGGGAGCACUAGGAAAGCUCAGAAGGAGGAUGCCUCCAGGAGCCAGUGAGUGUAUUCUGUCACCAGGUGCCUUGGAGAGUGGAGGAUCUGGAGGGCACUUUUUGAGGCUGAUAGGAAGAAAGCAGACGGGUGGAGUGGUAGAUGGAAUGACGCCCUCACCCUCUGCAAUGUUCACAUUCUAAUCCCUGAGAUAUGUGAAUAUGUUACUCUAGCUGACAAAAGGGACUUUGCAGAUGUGAUUAAGGAUUUUGAGCUGGGGAGGUGACUCUGAAUUACAUGAAUGGGCCCAGUAUAAUCACAAGGGUCCUUAUAAUAGGGAGACUGGAGUGUCAGAGUCACAGAUGAGCUGUGAUGAUGGACGCAGUGGUGAGAGAGAGAUGUGAAGAUGGAAGGAGAGGGCCAUGGGCCAAGGAAUGUGGGUGGUCUCUAAAAGCUGGAAAAGGCAAGAAAAUGGAUCCUCCCCUAGAGACUCCAGCAGGAACAAAACCCUGCUGACACCUUGACUGUAGGACUUCCAACCUCCAGAACUAUAAAAUAAUAAAUUCAUGUUGUUUUAAACCA